GAAGUUGGCAGCAGCGGAUGAUAUGGUUUGGCGGAAGAAUUUGGUGGCAGAGGAGCUCUCGGUGGUGGAUAGAUCUAGCUCAGGAAGCCUUCAACUGGAACGAAGCUAGUUGGAUUUGGGGGAAAAACUCAGGUAAUGGACCUUUGGCAGAGAUUCAAUUGCUGGAAAAUGCAUCAGCAGAAGAAUAACCUCAUAAUAUUUCCAAAAGUGCUUUUACAAGUGUGCUAUGGUGGAUUUAUAGUAAAUCCU
This 249-nucleotide long non-coding RNA is filed under the name Vigna radiata. RNAcentral describes it as "long non-coding RNA (VRAD_LNC016028)". Lineage: Eukaryota; Viridiplantae; Streptophyta; Magnoliopsida; Fabales; Fabaceae. The record is from RNAcentral.